Molecule: ribosomal RNA, 549 nt
Filed under: Bacillus sp. SW11
Lineage: Bacteria; Bacillati; Bacillota; Bacilli; Caryophanales; Bacillaceae
Description: bacterial SSU rRNA
Rfam family: Bacterial small subunit ribosomal RNA
Source: RNAcentral
UGCAGGCGCAGCUAUACUGCAAGUCGAGCGGACUGAUGGGAGCUUGCUCCCAUCAGUCAGCGGCGGACGGGUGAGUAACACGUGGGUAACCUGCCUGUAAGACUGGGAUAACUCCGGGAAACCGGGGCUAAUACCGGAUAACUCAUUUCCUCGCAUGAGGAAAUGUUGAAAGGUGGCUUUUAGCUACCACUUACAGAUGGACCCGCGGCGCAUUAGCUAGUUGGUGAGGUAACGGCUCACCAAGGCGACGAUGCGUAGCCGACCUGAGAGGGUGAUCGGCCACACUGGGACUGAGACACGGCCCAGACUCCUACGGGAGGCAGCAGUAGGGAAUCUUCCGCAAUGGACGAAAGUCUGACGGAGCAACGCCGCGUGAGUGAUGAAGGUUUUCGGAUCGUAAAACUCUGUUGUUAGGGAAGAACAAGUACCGUCCAAAUAGGGCGGUACCUUGACGGUACCUAACCCGAAAGACAGGGCAAACUACUUGCUAUCAGCAAAGGUAAUACGUAGGUGGCAAGCGUUGUACCGAACUAAUGAGCACACACCACG